Molecule: long non-coding RNA, 2070 nt
Filed under: Homo sapiens (human)
Lineage: Eukaryota; Metazoa; Chordata; Mammalia; Primates; Hominidae
Description: HSALNT0143930
Source: RNAcentral
UGUCACUCAGGCUGGAGUGCAGUGAUGCGAUCUCGGCUCACUACAACCUCUGCCUCCCAGGUUCAAGCGAUUCUCUUGCCUCAGCCUCCUGAGUGCUGGGAUUACAGGCGUGUGCCGCCAUGACCAGCUAAUUUUUGUAUUUUCAGUAGAGAAUUCAGUAGCUAAUUUUUGUAUUCUCCAUGUUGGUCAGGCUGGUCUCAAACUCCUGACCUCAGAUGAUCCGCCCACCUGAGUCUCCCAAAGUGGUGGGAUUACAGGCGUGAGCCACUGCGCCCGACCAAGAUAAUAUUUUAAUAAUUAUGGCACUGUGUAUGUUUUGCAUGCUUACUAUGUCUCUGGUAUUGAGCUAAAUUGUGUACAUGCUCUUUUUCUCAAUAUUGUGUCAGAAAUAACCAGUAUACAUGACUUGUAAAAUGUUCUGAAGUUAGUUUGUAGCAGAACCAGUGCUCUAAUUCACAUUUUCUAAUGCUGAGCUAAGGAUCUUUCUAAUUUUGCCCAUAUUAUAUUAUAUGAUAGGUUCUCCAUUACUCUUAGAGACCAUGGCAGAUUUCAGGUUGCACAAGCUCCUAUUUGGUUUAUUUCCUCUGCCACACAGUGAAAUCAGGGCUAUAUGUCCACAAAACAUCUUAUGUUUAAGUAGAAGUUUAUUCAUUUCAAAAUAUUGGGGGUCCAGGAACAGGGUCACACAUACAAGGUCAAAUUAGGUUUUUACAGAGGCGUGAAGGCAAUUUGAUAGAAAAAGAGAAGUCUUUUUAACUGGAACAUUUGUACAUCCAUGCUCGAAAACACAACUUGCAUCCUAUACAAAAAUUAAUUCAAAGUAAGUCAUACCUCUAAGUGUAAAACUGUAAAAUAUCUAGGAGAAAACUUAUAAGAAAAUUCUUAUGAGCUAAGAUUAGGCAAAUAUUUCCUUAAUAGGACUCAAAGAAUCAAAAUCCAUAAAACAAAAAAAAAAAAUAAAUUUGACUUGAUCAAAAUUAAGAACUUUGGCUUUUCUAAAGAUACUGUAAGAGAAUGGAAAGGGAAGCCUCAGAGUAGGAGACAAUGUUUGCAAAUUCCAUAUCUGAUAAAGGACAUGAACAUAUAAAGAACUCUCAAACCCCGAUAAGAAGAUAACAAACCAAUAAAAGAUAGACAGAAGAUCUGAAUGGACAUAAAUACAUAAAAGUGUCUUAUCUCAUUAGUUAUUAGAGAAAUGUGCAUUACAGCCACAAUGAGAUACUAUUACAUACAUAUUAAAAUGGCAUGACAAGGGAAAAAAAUACAACUCAACAAUACCAAGGAUACAAGGAUGCAGAGCCACAGAAACUCUCAUACAUUGCUGAUAUGAAUGCAGUAGAGUACAUCCACUUUGAAAAACGCUUUAGCAGUUUUCUAUAAAGUUAAACACAUACUAGACAACAUACAGCAAUCCCACUGCCAGGUAAAUAUUCAAGUGAAAUGCAAACUAUGUUCACCCAAAACCCUGUAAGUGGGUGCUUGUAAAAGUUCUAGUCUUCCUGACCAUCAGAAUCUGGAAGCAACUCAAAUAGCUACCAGCUAGUGAAUGAAUGAAAAAACUGUGGUAUAUCCCUAUAUUGGAACACUACUUAGCAGUAAAAAAUAAAUAACUACUGAUACACAUAAUAUCAUAGAUGAAUCUCAAAAUGCAUUACACUAAGUGAAAGAAGCCAUAUUUAAAAGUCAUUAUACUGUAUUCCAUUUACAUGCCAUUCUUGCAAAGGUAAAACUAUAGGGAUAGAAAACAUAUGGGUGGUUGCCAGGGACUGGGAACUGAUGGCCAGUACUCAUGGGGAAAUGUUUCUGGGUAUUGGAACUGUUCUAUAUCUUGAUGGUAGUGGUGUUCACAUGACAGCAGGCAUUUUUUGGAUCUGCAUUACUGGCAUGAGCCAUCAUGCCUGGCCAAAAUCUCCUGAUUUUUAAAAGCCUUAAAUCAUUUCCUUUUUUCACACACUGUCCUGAUAAAAUAAAAGCCAUCUGUCUGUGGGCUAGAACUGGCCACAGGCCACUGGUUUGUGAUCCCUGGCCUGAGCAGGACUAUCAAGCCCAUGCUUUGUUCUUUACAUGGUC